AAGAAUUCAAUAUAAGCAAAAUAUUAUACGGAAACCAUGUAGUAGACCAAGAAGAGAAUUAACAACUCCAAAGACACUUAUAAAGAUGGCCACAGAGAUUAGAAAGCUCUGAGUUACAACUCUAAUGCUAGACCAAUACUAUUAUGUCAUUAAUGCGACAAAAGAAUUCAAUAUAAGCAAAAUAUUAUACGGAAACCAUGUAGUAGACCAAGAAGAGAAUUAACAACUCCAAAGACACUUAUAAAGAUGGCCACAGAGAUUAGAAAGCUCUGAGUUACAACUCUAAUGCUAGACCAAUACUAUUAUGUCAUUAAUGCGACAAAGUUGUAGAUCACAAACUAAUUCUCAUCUGGUGCACGUCUCAGAAUCAGAUUCACCAUUUAUCUCUGCAUUAGUUAUUAAGAGUUCUGUUAUUUUCAUUUCUAAAUGCAGUUUUAAGCUUUUAUAAAAUUCUGUGAUUUAAAGCUCAAACAUAAACAAUUUGAAGGACCUCAACCCAAACCCACUAAAUCUGGUGCAUUCCCAACUAAAACUUUUCAAAAAGUAGAGCAGCUGAGACCACAGUUUAGUAGAUGUCAAUAGGAAAGACCAGGAACAUGAUCCCUCUCUCACAGCACCUGUGGUGGACCACAGAAGAGUGCGGGAUGGACACCUAUGCCAAUUCAUGAUUUUUGCAAUUCUAAAUGAAAUACUGUAAUAGCAACGAAUCCAAAAUCAUAAUUCUUAAUGAAAUGGUAUCAAACUAAUGUUUCCAUGUGCACAUACAGAUAUGAAUUUCAAAAAAUAAAGACUGGACAGAGUAAAAAAUGUUAAAAUUUGCAAUAUACCAAAACCAACAUUGGAUUUAAUUAUGUUAUAGAGAUUACACAUCAAUAAAACCAAUCAAUCAAAAUAUCAAGACUUUCACAGACACUAUCUUAUCCUGAUAUCAAAAUAUCAAUGAGAUCUAAAUUAGCUUCCAAGUAAGCAGAAGCAAUCAUCCGAGAUUGAACCUGUUGCCUCUGCAAAUUGGCAACCACUUGGGUGGCAUCUCUACGUGCCUCCAAACCUAGCUUUGGAAGAGAGACAAUGAGAAGAUGCAGGGUGUUCUCUUUGAAAAACUCCUGUGUCAAUUGUGCACAAGCCUCAGCAACAGGCUCAGAAUCACUACUACCGUAAAGAAUUAGCUUUAGCUCUCGAAUGUGUUUAUUUAAUUCAUCCGUCUUCUCUUCCCGCUUGGAGCCGCGAUGCUCACCGCUGCCAUUGAGGGAAAGGAGAAGGGUCCGAGUUUGCCUGAC
Molecule: unclassified non-coding RNA, 1277 nt
Filed under: Hevea brasiliensis (rubber tree)
Lineage: Eukaryota; Viridiplantae; Streptophyta; Magnoliopsida; Malpighiales; Euphorbiaceae
Source: RNAcentral